Molecule: ribosomal RNA, 437 nt
Filed under: uncultured bacterium
Lineage: Bacteria
Description: bacterial SSU rRNA
Rfam family: Bacterial small subunit ribosomal RNA
Source: RNAcentral
AAAGAGGAAGAGGUGGCUAACUCCGUGCCAGCAGCCGCGGUAAUACGGAGACCUCGAGCGUUACUCGGAUUUACUGGGCGUAAAGGGUGAGCAGGCGGCCAGGUGUGUUAGGUGUGAAAUCCCGGGGCUUAACCCCGGAACUGCGCCUAAAACUACCUGGCUAGAGUCUCGGAGAGGACAGUGGAAUUCUAGGUGUAGCGGUGAAAUGCGUAGAUAUCUAGAGGAACACCAGUGGCGAAGGCGACUGUCUGGACGAGAACUGACGCUCAAUCACGAAAGCGUGGGUAGCGAAAGGGAUUAGAUACCCCUGUAGUCCACGCCGUAAACGUUGUGCACUAAGUUUCGGAGGAUUCGACCCCUUCGGAGCUCAAGCUAACGCGUUAAGUGCACCGCCUGAGGACUACGGCCGCAAGGCUAAAACUCAAAUGAAUUGACGG